UACGUAGGGUGCAAGCGUUGUCCGGAAUUAUUGGGCGUAAAGAGCUCGUAGGCGGUCUGUUGCGUCGGCUGUGAAAACCCGGGGCUCAACCCCGGGCCUGCAGCCGAUACGGGCAGACUAGAGUGCGGCAGGGGAGACUGGAAUUCCUGGUGUAGCGGUGAAAUGCGCAGAUAUCAGGAGGAACACCGGUGGCGAAGGCGGGUCUCUGGGCCGAUACUGACGCUGAGACGCGAAAGCGUGGGGAGCGAACAGG
RNAcentral lists this ribosomal RNA (253 nucleotides) under uncultured bacterium. RNAcentral's name for it is "partial 16S ribosomal RNA". It matches the Rfam family "Bacterial small subunit ribosomal RNA", at positions 524 to 776 of the family's 1533-position model. The record is from RNAcentral.